Molecule: non-coding RNA, 131 nt
Filed under: Fragilariopsis kerguelensis
Lineage: Eukaryota; Bacillariophyta; Bacillariophyceae; Bacillariales; Bacillariaceae
Source: RNAcentral
GUAGAAAGGAUCUCGCUUUGGCUUUGAUGAAGAGAGGAGUGUCGUUAGACCCUUUGGCAGGUUGGUCCAAGGUUGGAUUAAAAAUCAUGGAAAGUCCUGUCCCCGUCGGUGCAACUCCUGAAUACUUAAGU